Long non-coding RNA from Mesocricetus auratus (golden hamster), 1649 nucleotides. RefSeq lists it as uncharacterized. The record is from RefSeq and is a predicted model, not a curated record. NCBI's taxonomy places the organism in Eukaryota, Metazoa, Chordata, Mammalia, Rodentia, Cricetidae. The transcript is spliced from 3 exons.
AAUGGGAGUCUAUUGGAGUUGUCUGGUUCAGAUUCCACUGGAAAACAGUAGAUGAGAGUUGACAAGACACUGCCAUCCCAACAAGAGAUGGAAGAUGCCUGAAAUCAAGAGUCGGGCUACAUUAGUGGAUGGAAGAGUUGCUGAGUCAAGAAAACUGUGAUUCUGAAGAGGGGGUCACCUUCCACCUAACCUUCCUAGCCUGGUCAAGAAAACUUCACCUAUGCAACUAUCAGCACACAGACAAACCUCCUUAUCAACCUAAAUUCAAACUGGGAUUAAUCUUUGGAACUCUGUGCUGUUUAUAAAAGCAUACAUAAUUCAUAGAUAAGUAUAUGUUGCAUUAAAUAAUUAUUGUGUAAAAUUUCAUAGAACCUACAUAAAACUCAAAGCUCUCCAACCCCAUGCAUCCUGUAUCAGCAAUGCUCUACUCAUCAGUGCACUGCCAACCAUCAAAACUUUCCUGCCUUCCCAGCAGGCACUCCCACCCUCUUCCAUCUUCAUGACUUAGACAUCUGUACUGAAAUGCACAGUUUACUGCUAACCACCUCGAUGUCAUAAAGAGGAGAUUCCCAUAAGUCCUCUGUCAUUUUCCUUCCUGUCAAAGCUGUGUCUACAUUUCCAGGGUGUCAUUGUAUUCAGUUACACAUCAUUUGUUACCUCCUCUCUUUAGACUGCCAUUGUGUCUGGUAGCCUACAUUUCACUUAUCCGUUGUAAAGCUGCUGGACCAGUUUGGAGCCCCUGUAAACAACGCUGCUGCAAACACUCCUGAACAAGAAUCCUGGCCCACAUGUGCCUGUGUCUCCGCAAGGCAGGUAGAACAGCUGAGUCACGGCCCAUACACCUACUUUGUUACCAAAUGCCAGAGUAAUCCUUUUCCAAAGGUGUUGCCACCGUGUGCACUUCCAGCAGCAGAGCAUAGAAAUGCCUUUCACUCUAGUUUUGACUAAGGCCUUGCUCAUCCAGUGGGCAGGAAUGGCAUUUUCAUCUCCCCAUGCCCAGAGCUACCAAAUUGACUAAUGUGUAGGAGGAACUUCCAUCUAUUUGUUCAUUCAUGAAAUUCCCUUACACUUAUAAAUCCUUACUGACCUAUUUGGUAUCUGAAAUUCCCCAAUGAUCAGUUUUAGGAGAUUUUGUGAUUGAAUGCACAUGGACAAACCUGUUCAGAAGACCCAUUUUCCAUUAAUUCAUAAAACAUUUGCAUUAGUGGUACUACAGGUUUAUAAAGAAAAAUGGACUUACUUUUAUACAGAACAGAGUCAACAAGUGUAUCACACAGCCAAUGUCUAAAAUCCUAGGACAAAAAAAUGGAAGAUGCCCCGCCCCUCUCUUUCUCUCUCUCUCUCUGAACCCAAGCCCCUCUUCAUAUUAAGCAAGAGCUCUACCACAGAACCAGAAAGAUGAAAGGAUGUGAGAAAAAGGAAGGAGCCAAGCAUGAAAAGCAGUCUGGUUUCUGCUUCUAUGGACUUCUGAAACUCAUCUAUAGCCAUCUUUGCCUCUAGGACCAUUGCUUCCUAAACUGAAAAGCUAACAGUGGCAACCCGCCUACCACCUGUGAACCAGGGAGUUGGAUAUGAGUCAGGAUCAAGCACCAGAUAACCUGCUUCGAGAUUUGAGAUGCACACCUACAAGUAACAUUAUACAGACUGAG